RNAcentral lists this transfer RNA (73 nucleotides) under Ancylostoma ceylanicum. It matches the Rfam family "tRNA". Rfam says of the family: Transfer RNA (tRNA) molecules are approximately 80 nucleotides in length. Their secondary structure includes four short double-helical elements and three loops (D, anti-codon, and T loops). Further hydrogen bonds mediate the characteristic L-shaped molecular structure. tRNAs have two regions of fundamental functional importance: the anti-codon, which is responsible for specific mRNA codon recognition, and the 3' end, to which the tRNAs corresponding amino acid is attached (by aminoacyl-tRNA synthetases). tRNAs cope with the degeneracy of the genetic code in two manners: having more than one tRNA (with a specific anti-codon) for a particular amino acid; and 'wobble' base-pairing, i.e. permitting non-standard base-pairing at the 3rd anti-codon position. The record is from Rfam by way of RNAcentral. Lineage: Eukaryota; Metazoa; Nematoda; Chromadorea; Rhabditida; Ancylostomatidae.
GCCCGGUUAGCUCAGUCGGUAGAGCACCGGACUCUUAAUCUGGCUGUGGUGGGUUCGAGCCCCGCAUCAGGCU